Molecule: ribosomal RNA, 493 nt
Filed under: uncultured bacterium
Lineage: Bacteria
Description: partial 16S ribosomal RNA
Rfam family: Bacterial small subunit ribosomal RNA
Source: RNAcentral
AUUGAACGCUGGCGGCAUGCUUUACACAUGCAAGUCGAACGGUAGCGAGGAGAAGCUUGCUUCUCUGUCGGCGAGUGGCGAACGGGUGAGUAUAGCAUCGGAACGUGCCAAGUAGUGGGGGAUAACCAAACGAAAGUUUGGCUAAUACCGCGUAAGCUCUAAGGAGGAAAGUAGGGGACCUAAAUAAGGCCUUACGCUAUUUGAUCGGCCGAUGUCGGAUUAGCUAGUUGGUGGGGUAAUGGCUCACCAAGGCAAUGAUCCGUAGCGGGUCUGAGAGGACGAUCCGCCACACUGGGACUGAGACACGGCCCAGACUCCUACGGGAGGCAGCAGUGGGGAAUUUUGGACAAUGGGGGAAACCCUGAUCCAGCCAUGCCGCGUGUAUGAAGAAGGCCUUAGGGUUGUAAAGUACUUUUGUUAGGGAAGAAAAGCUAGUUUUUAAUAAAAAUUAGUGAUGACGGUACCUAAAGAAUAAGCACCGGCUAACUACGUG